AUACGUAGGGUGCAAGCGUUAAUCGGAAUUACUGGGCGUAAAGCGUGCGCAGGCGGUUUUGUAAGUGAGAGGGGAAAUUCCCGGGCUCAAUCUGGGAACUGCCUUUGUGACUGCAAGGCUUGAGUACGGCAGAGGGGGGUGGAAUUCCGCGUGGAGGAGGGAAAUGCGUAGAUAUGCGGAGGAACACCGAUGGCGAAGGCAAUCCCCUGGGCCUGUACUGACGCUCAUGCACGAAAGCGUGGGGAGCAAACAGGAUUAGAUACCCUGGUAGUCCACGCCCUAAACGAUGUCAACUGGUUGUUGGGGCUUCAAUGACUCAGAAACGAAGCUAACGCGUGAAGUUGACCGCCUGGGGAGUACGGCCGCAAGGUUGAAACACAAAGGAAUUGACGGGG
This 395-nucleotide ribosomal RNA is filed under the name uncultured bacterium. RNAcentral describes it as "partial 16S ribosomal RNA". It matches the Rfam family "Bacterial small subunit ribosomal RNA", at positions 523 to 918 of the family's 1533-position model. The record is from RNAcentral.